UACGAAGGGUGCAAGCGUUACUCGGAAUUACUGGGCGUAAAGGGUGCGUAGGUGGUCGUUUAAGUCCGUUGUGAAAUCCCUGGGCUCAACCUGGGAAUGGCAGUGGAUACUGGACGGCUAGAAUGCGGUAGAGGGUAGUGGAAUUCCCGGUGUAGCAGUGAAAUGCGUAGAGAUCGGGAGGAACACCAGUGGCGAAGGCGGCUCGCUGGGCCGAUACUGACGCUGAGGAGCGAAAGCGUGGGGAGCGAACAGG
This 253-nucleotide ribosomal RNA is filed under the name uncultured bacterium. RNAcentral describes it as "partial 16S ribosomal RNA". It matches the Rfam family "Bacterial small subunit ribosomal RNA", at positions 524 to 776 of the family's 1533-position model. The record is from RNAcentral.